CUACGUUAAACAAAAUCAAAAAUUAAAAUAAAAUGAAACAUGAACUGGGUUGCUCUGGUCUAAUAUAUCAUUACUAAUACUAGCUGGAUCUACUCUGUUGAUGGGCCUCGGUGUACAUAUCGUCUAUUAUUAGUUUACUUUUGUUGUUUGUGCCAGAGAUGACAAAAGUAAACUAAUGAUUCUCUUAAAAAGAGAUACAUAUGACUCUUUUAUCAAUAGUUUUUUUAUUGAGAACGACUGCCAACAGUUGAGCUAUGACCCAACGGAAGUGGUAGAUUCUGAAGUCCGCAGAAUUUUGAGGGAUGACAAACUACCAUCUUUCUUGAAAGGUGCAUGGAUAAAGUCAUCUAGACCCCUGAGAUUAUUUGCUUUUAUAAAAGACAUAAGAAUCCAUUAGAAGCAAGACUGGUUGUUGAAAGAAUAUUGGCUCCGACAUACCUUUUAGAAAAAAGAUUAGCAAAAUGAUGCUAUGAGAGAUUAAGUGGGUAUGAUAAAUAAUAAGCGAAGAACUAUAACUGCUUAUCCUUAAACAUCACAGUUCAAGUUAUUAGCGCGGGAGG
Molecule: long non-coding RNA, 560 nt
Filed under: Androctonus crassicauda
Lineage: Eukaryota; Metazoa; Arthropoda; Arachnida; Scorpiones; Buthidae
Source: RNAcentral